Molecule: ribosomal RNA, 505 nt
Filed under: uncultured bacterium
Lineage: Bacteria
Description: partial 16S ribosomal RNA
Rfam family: Bacterial small subunit ribosomal RNA
Source: RNAcentral
GACGAACGCUGGCGGCGUGCCUAAUACAUGCAAGUAGAACGCACAGUUUAUACCGUAGCUUGCUCCACCAUAGACUGUGAGUUGCGAACGGGUGAGUAACGCGUAGGUAACCUGCCUGGUAGCGGGGGAUAACUAUUGGAAACGAUAGCUAAUACCGCAUAAUAUUAAUUAUUGCAUGAUAAUUAAUUGAAAGGUGCAAUUGCACCACUACCAGAUGGACCUGCGUUGUAUUAGCUAGUAGGUGAGGUAACGGCUCACCUAGGCGACGAUACAUAGCCGACCUGAGAGGGUGGUCGGCCACACUGGGACUGGGACACGGCCCAGACUCCUACGGGAGGCAGCAGUAGGGAAUCUUCGGCAAUGGACGAAAGUCUGACCGAGCAACGCCGCGUGAGUGAAGAAGGUUUUCGGAUCGUAAAGCUCUGUUGUAAGGGAAGAACGGGUGUGAGAGUGGAAAGUUCACACUGUGACGGUAUCUUACCAGAAAGGGACGGCUAACUACGUG